This 2387-nucleotide long non-coding RNA is filed under the name Citrus x clementina. RNAcentral's name for it is "Citrus clementina (C. clementina) long non-coding RNA (CCLE_LNC003860)". The record is from RNAcentral. Lineage: Eukaryota; Viridiplantae; Streptophyta; Magnoliopsida; Sapindales; Rutaceae.
UUAUGGAACGACAUCUAACAUCACUUCACUGCGUCAAUCAUUUAAUGUCAUGUAUAUGAUAUUAAUAGUAAACAAUUUAAUAUUCAUAUUCAAUGACAUUAUAUUUUACUUAAUUAAGUUAUUUAGUUUGUAUCCCAACUAAUAUAGUAAAUGAUGUGUCACUAUUUGAUUUACUCAAAUUAUAGUUAGUUAUUAAGUAUUAUCAUUUAUAAUCUAAAUGGUAAAAGGGGACUGGGGACACAUCAAUUGGUAUAGAGAUUAAUUAUCUCAGUUGAUUCAACAUAGCAUGUACCUACAUAAUUUAGUUUCUUGUUUGUCGUGCGAAAGAGAAAUUUUCCAUACACCAUGUCUGUGAUUACAUGGCAAAUUGUGUAUACGUUUCACCUAAUACUCAUCACUAAAAUUCAAACUGACCUCAUGGUCUCCUUCUUUUUUCAUUUUGUAUUUUUUAAAUAAUAGGUAUUAGAAAUCCAAACCUCUAAUCUGAAUAAUGAGAUAACGUGAGACAACCACUGAGGCAAGGAAUGAAUAGUCACUUACAAUGGGUUGGAUCUUGUUAUUUCAGUUUUUUCGGAUUUAAAAAACAAAUAGGGCAAAAUACAAGGUGAAAAAAAUGUAAAUAGUUGAAAGUUAAAACAUGUUUAUUUAAGAAAGACGCAAUCUUUGUCUCUGAUUUUAGGAUAAAGCUGUAGUACAACUGUGUUACCGUGUCACAAUUACACCCGAUCGUUGAAUUUUUACUUAUUUAAAUAGACAUCACUCGUUUAAAUGAGUCUUGGUGCAAUUGUAGCACUGUAUGGUGAUCCCUGGUUUUAUAUUAACCUCAUAUGAAAGCAAAAUUUUCAACUUUAAAGUUUAAACAAUGAAAAUGGGCAAUCAAAAAGUCGUGAGUGUCAGUGAUGAUAUGAUUUUUAUAUCUUUGUUUUCCUUUGGCUUUCUUUCCCUCCACCUUUUGUCCUUUUUUUAUUUUUUCCCUUCCAAUUAUUUGUAACACUAUCUGCAUUCUUAUUGUUCGUUUCACCUACUAUUUCAUCACAUGAACGUUUUGGUACGUGCUAGGAAUAGGAUUAAGAUUCCGUUAGCGUUUUUUCCAACUUGAUACGACCGUUUGUGACGUUCUAAUUUUACGGAACGUAGCCGUAUUAAAACCCAAAAAUUAAUUAAUAGCAAUGAAUGAGAAUAUAAUAGCCUCUUCCUCCCCAACUUUUUGUAAAGGAGUUCAAUAUUUACUUUGUCACAUAUGAGUAGGCUUAAUUACCUUUUGAUCAUUAUAAUAAGGUUCUAAAAAAUUAUUAGAAGCUAAAAUUUUGACUUGAUUCAUUAAGACAUAGUUGUGUAUGUGUGCGUGCGUGUGUGUAUGUAUGUAUGUAACACAAUAAUGCAACAACUUCGAUCAGUUAUUAAGUCCUAGUUGUGUGUGUGUGUGUGUAACACAAUUGGCUUCACACACACCCAAUUAGAACCGAGUUAAUUAAAUAUAAGAACUAUGUAAUAAUUGAAACACGUAUUCAAAACACAGUUCACUAAUCGUUGAAAAAUAUUAUGUUUUGGUUUCGUAGGUCAUCAGUCCAUCAACAACUCUGCUCAUUUGGCUUGUACCUUUUAAUUUUCUAUUAUCCUUUUAAUAAGACCAUAUUUUAUUAUUAUUAUUAUUAUUUUUAAAUAAGAAUCUUAGACAAAAGCGUCACACGAAAUAUGUUAAAUUGACGCCUGGUUCAAUCAUCAAUAAUUCAUAGGUCAAAGGAUCAACUUUAAAAAAAAAAAAAAAAAUCACAUGGUUUCAGAUCUUGACCCUCGUGGAGUUUGUGUAGAAGAGUUUAGCCGUUGGCAUUAUCAUGGCUAAAAUUAUGCCAAUUUUGAACAGCACAAUUGAUCUCUUUUUUUUCUUUUUUUUCUCUUUCUCUCUGGAAAGCAAGCUUUUGUUUUUACACUAAAUAAUUAAUAUAUAUGUGUCUGUGAUUUUAUUGUUAUUUGAUUAAUUUCAAGAUUAUUUAAAUUAUCUUGACCAUAAUUUUGCUAGUUUUGAAAUUUAAGUGUCCAUCAGGAUUUUAUUUUAUUCAUGUAUAUUUGUUGUAUGCGUUAUACUUAACUAACAAAAAUAUUAUUAUAAUAUAUAAUACAAUAAUAAAUCCGUACGAAAUUCACAUUUAGACAUUAUGGACAUAUAUACGUGGCUAAACACUAUCAACAAAUAAUGAGCGACGCGUAAUGCAUUUGAUUGGACGUAAAGCAUUUUUGUCUCUACAACUAAUUCCAUUAAUGGCACGUGCAUGGAUUAUGCAAUUAUUUACGUGCGAAUUUGAAAUAAUCAGAAAAGAAAACAUAAAAAAAAGUAUUUAAGAGGUGUUUGGUUAGGAAGAGAGAAUGUAAGAGAGGAAAGUAAUUUA